Molecule: ribosomal RNA, 468 nt
Filed under: uncultured bacterium
Lineage: Bacteria
Description: partial 16S ribosomal RNA
Rfam family: Bacterial small subunit ribosomal RNA
Source: RNAcentral
GACGAACGCUGGCGGCGUGCUUAACACAUGCAAGUCGAACGGAAAGGCCCUGCUUUUGUGGGGUGCUCGAGUGGCGAACGGGUGAGUAACACGUGAGUAACCUGCCCUUGACUUUGGGAUAACUUCAGGAAACUGGGGCUAAUACCGGAUAGGAGCUCCUGCUGCAUGGUGGGGGUUGGAAAGUUUCGGCGGUUGGGGAUGGACUCGCGGCUUAUCAGCUUGUUGGCGGGGUAGUGGCUUACCAAGGCUUUGACGGGUAGCCGGCCUGAGAGGGUGACCGGCCACAUUGGGACUGAGAUACGGCCCAGACUCCUACGGGAGGCAGCAGUGGGGAAUAUUGCACAAUGGGCGGAAGCCUGAUGCAACAACGCCGCGUGCGGGAUGACGGCCUUCGGGUUGUAAACCGCUUUCGCCUGUGACGAAGCGUGAGUGACGGUAAUGGGUAAAGAAGCACCGGCUAACUACGUG